Molecule: ribosomal RNA, 403 nt
Filed under: uncultured bacterium
Lineage: Bacteria
Description: partial 16S ribosomal RNA
Rfam family: Bacterial small subunit ribosomal RNA
Source: RNAcentral
AUUGAACGCUGGCGGCAGGCCUAACACAUGCAAGUCGAGCGAGCGGCGGACGGGUGAGUAAUGUAUGGGGACUGCCCGAUAGAGGGGGAGAACUACUGGAAACGGUAGCUAAUACCGCAUACUAUCGGAUAACCCAUAUGGGAUUAGCUAGUAGGUGAGGAAAUGGCUCACCUAGGCGACGAUCCAUAGCUGGUCUGAGAGUGUGAUCAGCCACGCUGGGACUGGUACACGGCCCAGACCCCCGGGGAGGAAGCAUGGGGGAAUAUGGCACAAUGGGGGCAAGCCUGAUGCAGCCAUGCCGGGUGUUUUAAGAAGGCUCUAGGGUUGUAAAGUACUUUCAGUCGGGAGGCGUUACCGACAGAAGAAGCACCGGCUAACUCCGUGCCAGCAGCCGCGGUAAUAC